AGCGAACGCUGGCGGCAGGCUUAACACAUGCAAGUCGAGCGGGCGUAGCAAUACGUCAGCGGCAGACGGGUGAGUAACGCGUGGGAACGUACCUUUUGGUUCGGAACAACACAGGGAAACUUGUGCUAAUACCGGAUAAGCCCUUACGGGGAAAGAUUUAUCGCCGAAAGAUCGGCCCGCGUCUGAUUAGCUAGUUGGUGAGGUAACGGCUCACCAAGGCGACGAUCAGUAGCUGGUCUGAGAGGAUGAUCAGCCACAUUGGGACUGAGACACGGCCCAAACCCCCGCGGGGGGCAGAAGGGGGGAAAGUUGAACAGAGGGGGAAACCCUGAACCAGCCAUGCCCGGGAAGGUAGGAAGGCCCAGGGGUUGUAAAGCCCUUUUGGGGGGGAAGAAAACGACGGGACCCGAAGAAUAGGCCCCGGCUAACUUCGU
This 434-nucleotide ribosomal RNA is filed under the name uncultured bacterium. Its description in RNAcentral is "partial 16S ribosomal RNA". It matches the Rfam family "Bacterial small subunit ribosomal RNA", at positions 29 to 506 of the family's 1533-position model. The record is from RNAcentral.